RNAcentral lists this ribosomal RNA (657 nucleotides) under Enterobacter cloacae. RNAcentral describes it as "partial 23S ribosomal RNA". It matches the Rfam family "Bacterial large subunit ribosomal RNA", at positions 2240 to 2925 of the family's 2925-position model. The record is from RNAcentral. Lineage: Bacteria; Pseudomonadati; Pseudomonadota; Gammaproteobacteria; Enterobacterales; Enterobacteriaceae.
CCGGGUUGCGGACAGUGUCUGGUGGGUAGUUUGACUGGGGCGGUCUCCUCCCAAAGAGUAACGGAGGAGCACGAAGGUUAGCUAAUCCUGGUCGGACAUCAGGAGGUUAGUGCAAUGGCAUAAGCUAGCUUGACUGCGAGAGUGACGGCUCGAGCAGGUGCGAAAGCAGGUCAUAGUGAUCCGGUGGUUCUGAAUGGAAGGGCCAUCGCUCAACGGAUAAAAGGUACUCCGGGGAUAACAGGCUGAUACCGCCCAAGAGUUCAUAUCGACGGCGGUGUUUGGCACCUCGAUGUCGGCUCAUCACAUCCUGGGGCUGAAGUAGGUCCCAAGGGUAUGGCUGUUCGCCAUUUAAAGUGGUACGCGAGCUGGGUUUAGAACGUCGUGAGACGCUGGAGAAUUGAGGGGGGCUGCUCCUAGUACGAGAGGACCGGAGUGGACGCAUCACUGGUGUUCGGGUUGUCAUGCCAAUGGCACUGCCCGGUAGCUGAAUGCGGAAGAGAUAAGUGCUGAAAGCAUCUAAGCACGAAACUUGCCCCGAGAUGAGUUCUCCCUGAGACUUAAAGUCUCCUGAAGGAACGUUGUAGACGACGACGUGCAGCGAUGCGUUGAGCUAACCGAUACUAAUGAACCGUGAGGCUUAACCUUACAACGCCGAAG